This 320-nucleotide long non-coding RNA is filed under the name Androctonus crassicauda. Lineage: Eukaryota; Metazoa; Arthropoda; Arachnida; Scorpiones; Buthidae. The record is from RNAcentral.
UGAUGCUAUAAUUUUAUAAAAUAUGAGCAGUUUUCCACUCCUCUUGCCAUGUGCUCGUCCUCAUGCGGCAAUCCGGUAGGUAGAUAUGUCUCUACGUGCAGAAAGUGGGUGGGUAAGCAUGUGUCAAAAUAUUGUUACAAACUAAACAAGUUUAAUAAAUUUUUCUCUAGAUUUAAGGAAAAUUUUGCACAAUUUGGCAACACUGCCAGAAACAACUACCCAGAGGUGAAGUCUCACUCUCUAGGACUUAAAAUAACCAAGUUACCCUUUUAGCUCCACAAAAAUUUUGCGACAAAACAUCCAGUUGUUUUUUCUUUAGU